AGAUUUGCAGCGAGGCGGGCACCUACUCUAUCCAAUCUCCUUGUUCCCAGUAUGGUGGACACGGCUAGUGUUACCACCCAGUGGAUUAGCACCAAGGGCUUCCACAAGUGCGGUAAAUCGUGGUGUGUGUGGUAUGUCCCUUUGCCGAAAAAUGCCAGAAAAUAGAAGGUCAUAUUUUUAUCAAGAAAGACUUCUCGUGCCAGUCUCUAGAGGUAAAGUCUUGCGAGAUGUUACAUGUAUUUAAUGUGGUGAUUGGAUUGCACUGAUAGACUUGACAAAGGGGGCAGAGGCCCUUGAAAUGCCGUUGUUGCUCACAGUGAGUUCUCUGACUCUGCUGUAAAUGCGGAGCGAAGCUGUCUUUGAAAAGGAAAGGCUCCUGGAGUGAAGAUAAAGUUGUUUGUACAGCUGCUCCAUAAAGCACUGUGAUCUGCGCACUUGGGCGAAUAUGUAAAAUAUUAUAUCUGUUACAUUGUGAAUUGAUAAUAUUCUACAUAAAGAGCAAG
This is a long non-coding RNA of Hyla sarda, 503 nucleotides long. RefSeq lists it as uncharacterized. Lineage: Eukaryota; Metazoa; Chordata; Amphibia; Anura; Hylidae. The transcript is spliced from 3 exons. The record is from RefSeq and is a predicted model, not a curated record.